UGCAACAAAUCAUUGUUUUGGCCUUCACAUUGGCCAAAUUUUACACAGUGGAUGAAAGCAGGAUCUUCAAGUGAUAAGUAAUUAAUAAGGAUGGUGGAGAAGAAUAACACAGAGGAUGAAAACGCAUCUGUUGUUCUGCUCACUAUUCAGAAAGAUCCUUUGACUGACAGCCCUAACUGUACAUCAACACUCUCUACAGCUGAGAUUAACAUUAGCUCACAUACAAGUGCUGGUCAUAUAAUUAGAAUAAUCAUCAUAAAGUUUAUUUAUUUCACUUAUUCCAUUUCAAAAGUGAAACUUGUAUUUAUUCAUCACACAGACAGAUAUAUUUCAAAUAUAUAGCAUGUAAAAAAUUGCCACUUUGUUUUGGGUGUGUCCUUUAACAUGCAAAUGAGCUGAUCUUAGCACUAAAUGGCAGUGGUGUGGUUGGAUAGUGCAGAUUAAGGGGCGGUUUUAACCCCUUCUGACAUCACCAGAGGACCAAAAUUUCAAUGAGCUAUUUUUUCACAUGCUUGUGGAGAAUGGUUUAUCAAAAGUUACUGGGUUGAUCUUAUUCACAUUUUCUAGGUUGAUAAAAGCACUGGGGACCCAAUUAUAGCACUUAAACAUGGAAGAAGUUAAAUUUUCAUCGUAUGUCUCCUAUAACAUAUAUUUUACUUUAAUAAAAAAAUAAGACUUUAAAUUAUACUUAUACUUAACUUUCUGAUGUAAAUUGUCUGUAUCGAACACAGACAAAUAUAUUUAAGUGACCAGCUUUUAAAAUAAACGGCAGGGAUAUUUCGUUCAAUGGUCAAAAUAUCAUUGAAAUCUUGUAAUUAUUCAUGAAAUAAAAAAUAGGGACAAAACCUUUUUGAAUGUGUUUAUUUAUUUUUAUUUUUGUGGGUUUGUGGAGAAUAGAACACCAGAAAACGUGACUAUCCCGUUAUAAUAUUAUAAUAAUAUAAUAUUAAAACAUAUAUAUAUAUAUAUAUAUAUAUAU
Non-coding RNA from Paramisgurnus dabryanus, 979 nucleotides. The record is from RefSeq and is a predicted model, not a curated record. NCBI's taxonomy places the organism in Eukaryota, Metazoa, Chordata, Actinopteri, Cypriniformes, Cobitidae.